Molecule: ribosomal RNA, 137 nt
Filed under: Escherichia coli
Lineage: Bacteria; Pseudomonadati; Pseudomonadota; Gammaproteobacteria; Enterobacterales; Enterobacteriaceae
Description: partial 16S ribosomal RNA
Rfam family: Bacterial small subunit ribosomal RNA
Source: RNAcentral
CGAGAGUUUGUAACACCCGAAGUCGGUGAGGUAACCUUUUAGGAGCCAGCCGCCGAAGGUGGGACAGAUGAUUGGGGUGAAGUCGUAACAAGGUAGCCGUAUCGGAAGGUGCGGCUGGAUCACCUCCUUUCUAAGGA